GGCAAGGGGACCGUGCCCUGCCCAGGGGCGGGCAGCACCCACAGACCCAGCAGCGCCUGGGUCUCUACCUGGCUUUCCGCAUCCAAUAGCCUCCACAAGGCCCCAAUGAAUGCUGAGCAGGUCCAGUACUGUGGCCAAGAGAACAUCACCUCCCCAGCCCUGGGCGCACAGACAGGGACCUGGGCCAACAGCACAACGGAAGCGUAGGUUCCUGACACAGGUGGGUGCUGGGCAGGUAGAGACUAUGGGUGACUUUCAGCUCAGUUUGCAGCUGCCUGCGCCUCCCUGAGACAAAACCACCAGAGGUGGACAUACAGGCCCUGCAGGUGCCUGCAGGACUCUGGCUGUCGGAAGCCAGACAAAGGGCCCAGGCCAGGCGCUCCAGAGCUCCUCAGCUGCCCACCCGCAUCGCCGUGACCGCCAUCCUCUCCGCCGUCUCCUGAGGCGCCGCAGCGAUGCCGGCACCUGCGCCAGGGAGCAGCCGUGAGGCCUGAGUGAUGACACGGGGCCACACCCACAGGCGUGCAGGGCACAAUGCUGGCUGUUACUGUGAUGCACGCCUGCGUGUUUCCCAGGCUCAUGAGACCCAGAAAUCCUGCCCUGAUGAACAUCGUGUGAGACUAAUGCUUCCUGGAAUGUAUUUUUGAAAAAUCUGAACAAUGGGAAAACUAAUGGAGUUUGGAGUUGAACUCUAGAUCUUUGGGCGGCUUCCUGCCAUUUUUGGUGUGGGUGGUAUAUUUCAUUAAGCAAAUUUUUUUGUUUUUGGAAAGAAUGCAUGGGUGGUAAAAUACUUCUUUUGCUCUCAAAGUUAAACUGAGUUUGGCUGAGCUUACAACAAGUCUAAAUUCUUUCUCUCCAAAUCCCUACAUUCACUGCCUUUUAAAUUUAGUGUCACGUAAAGGCUUCAGUGUCAAUCUGAUUCUCUUCUCUCUGUAAGUCACCCUGCCCCCUACAGGGACUGUAGUAUUUUCCUCUACGUGGAACUGAAAGCACAGACGGUUUGCAUGUCUGGGGUCUGGGGUCUGCUGCCCCUGGGGUGUGGUUGGGGAACUGUCCUGUAUUAUCCAUCCGGCUGCUGCCCUCCGCAUGCACUUUGCGUUAGUCAGCUGUUCCCAUGUUAACGCUGUGUGACAAGCCAGCCCAAACGCCG
RNAcentral lists this long non-coding RNA (1150 nucleotides) under Sus scrofa (pig). Its description in RNAcentral is "lncRNA (ENSSSCG00070027236.1)". The record is from RNAcentral. Lineage: Eukaryota; Metazoa; Chordata; Mammalia; Artiodactyla; Suidae.